AAUACUCAACUCUCCUCAGAUUUCAUCUGUAUGGUGAGCUUGGACUUGGAGGUCUUCUGCUGGCGUUUGCCGGCUCCUCUUGAAAUCAUUAGCCUUGAGUUGAUCUUGAUGGCUUGACCAGUGUGAUAAACAUCUACGCUGAUUCAUGCUGUCCUGAGCGACGACGUCGGAGACGCUCUGGCUUAUAACCGUCCAUCAACGGACGACGCUCUGAAC
RNAcentral lists this unclassified non-coding RNA (216 nucleotides) under uncultured Odontia. Its description in RNAcentral is "sequence contains ITS2". Lineage: Eukaryota; Fungi; Basidiomycota. The record is from RNAcentral.